AUGCGCACGCGCAUCUGACGAUUGUCUAGGUUACUCAUUGGGUUGUCUUCUGGCCUCAGAGUAUCCCUUAUCAGAACCUUGGGCCCCUGGGCCCCUUCACUCAGUACUUGGUGGACCACCAUCACACCCUCCUGUGCAAUGGGUAUUGGCUUGCCUGGCUGAUUCAUGUGGGAGAGUCCUUGUAUGCCAUAGUAUUGUGCAAGCAUAAAGGCAUCACAAGUGGUCGGGCUCAGCUACUCUGGUUCCUACAGACUUUCUUCUUCGGGAUAGCGUCUCUCACCAUCUUGAUUGCUUACAAACGGAAGCGCCAAAAACAAACUUGAAGUUGUCUGAAAGCUUGCUCUACACUUUUACAUUCAUCCUCACCUUUUUUUUUGUGGGGUAGAGGAGGUGCAGUAAUUUACUCAGUGAUCUUUCUACUUUCUAGAAACUGUCCUUCAAAGCUCUUUAAGACCCCCUCGUUAGUCAGUUUUUUCUCUUAUAUGCUCUGGUUGAGCUUGAAUAGACCAGUUGUUACUUAAGAAAGAAACAGAGAAAGAUUUUAGCUUUUCAGUCCUAUUUGGCAGAGGACUUCAGCUACCUUCUUACAGUCUUUGGCUGUGUUGGUACCCUCGUGUGCUCUGAGCUAAGCCACAUACUAAAUUGACUUUUUGGUUUGUAUACCCUUGCUCCCGCCUUCUGAUGAAAACACCUUACCCUCACAACCACCAUCUUUCCUCUCCUUUCCAAAGCUCUUUCCACCUUGCUGCACUAAGAUAAAGUGACACUUCCACUAUAUGUCAAUUCCACACACAUUUAUUAGGUACCUGUGAGGUAGGAUCCUAUCCUCUCAAACUUCCAUUUCUCAUGCUACAGAGAAAGAUAAGGAAGAUGAGCAAGUGCCUGGAAUGGGGCAGGCUGAGCAGUCACACAGGCAUAGAGGCACGCUGAGAACCCGGAGGGGAGACUGCAGAGUGCCUUCCCUGAUGCUGCAGCCGGAAGUGAUCCUUCCCUCCACCUGGCCCCUGGGACACUGUGCUCUGCAGUGUGCAGGGCCUGAUGGCACUGCUAGAUUGCUCCUUCAGCUCAGGGCCACAGCUUAAACAGCUUUACCUUUCCCCUCAGUACCUGUCCCACUAUCUUGCACACAGGUGCUCUAACCAUGUUUAUUGAACAAAGGAGGGAAACUGAUUUCACUUUCACUUGUUCAUUAUCAUUCCAAUUUUUAUGUGAAAAUGGCAUAACCCGUUUGGGGUACCCUCACCCCAAAAGAAAAGCCCAAGUCUACCUUUGACUGGUACCACCUUUUUUGUGGUUUCCUUGGUGAGAAACCUUUAUCUUUUUCAUACCUUUCUAUUCUCAAUCACUUCUCCAAAAGUGUCUCUUUCCAGCGCUGAUUUAUUCAAAACACAAGCAUUUCUGUUUAGAGAUUCUAGCCCAUGGGUUAUCUGGCUAGUUAUUACCUCUCCUGUUCACUUAGUUAUACUUUAUUAUUGCUCACAGGUUGGGGAGGCAGAAUGACUCUGUCACCACUAGGAGCCAUUAGGGCUUCUUCCCUGGAGGACUGCCUGCUUGCUUUCUGGGGACACUAGCCCUCAUUUCCCUUCUGUGGUACAGUGGGGCAAAUUAUUUGUAUUAAGCAAACAUUUAUGGGAAACAACCCCCUCCCCAAAACGGAGCCCCCAAGUAAAGCACAACCCUGAAAGAUUAUGAACUAUGAAUUGUCUCUAGUAGAGAUAAAUUUCUGCAAAUAUAUCUCAGUCUUCCCUCUGUUUCUCUGGUGAUUAAGAAGUUCCUUUUUGGUAAGGAAAAGGAUUUUUAACCAUAGAGUUAGGCAUCAUGGAAAUUCAAACCAGAUUUCUUAAUACCUGGUCUUCCUCAAAGAGAAAUAAUAACAGUAAUAGUGGUGCUGGGAACAAUAUGGCAGAUUAUUGAAUGAAAUUGAUUAACUUGAAUAAAAUGCUGUGAAUUAUCUCUAGCUGAA
This 1963-nucleotide small RNA is filed under the name Pan troglodytes (chimpanzee). Its description in RNAcentral is "processed transcript". Lineage: Eukaryota; Metazoa; Chordata; Mammalia; Primates; Hominidae. The record is from RNAcentral.